GACGAACGCUGGCGGCGUGCCUAAUACAUGCAAGUCGAACGCUUCUUUCCUCCCGAGUGCUUGCACUCAAUUGGAAAGAGGAGUAGCGGACGGGUGAGUAACACGUGGGUAACCUACCCAUCAGAGGGGGAUAACACUUGGAAACAGGUGCUAAUACCGCAUAACAGUUUAUGCCGCAUGGCAUAAGAGUGAAAGGCGCUUUCGGGUGUCGCUGAUGGAUGGACCCGCGGUGCAUUAGCUAGUUGGUGAGGUAACGGCUCACCAAGGCCACGAUGCAUAGCCGACCUGAGAGGGUGAUCGGCCACACUGGGACUGAGACACGGCCCAGACUCCUACGGGAGGCAGCAGUAGGGAAUCUUCGGCAAUGGACGAAAGUCUGACCGAGCAACGCCGCGUGAGUGAAGAAGGUUUUCGGAUCGUAAAACUCUGUUGUUAGAGAAGAACAAGGACGUUAGUAACUGAACGUCCCCUGACGGUAUCUAACCAGAAAGCCACGGCUAACUACGUG
Molecule: ribosomal RNA, 508 nt
Filed under: uncultured bacterium
Lineage: Bacteria
Description: partial 16S ribosomal RNA
Rfam family: Bacterial small subunit ribosomal RNA
Source: RNAcentral